RNAcentral lists this ribosomal RNA (609 nucleotides) under uncultured bacterium. Its description in RNAcentral is "bacterial SSU rRNA". It matches the Rfam family "Bacterial small subunit ribosomal RNA", at positions 266 to 885 of the family's 1533-position model. The record is from RNAcentral.
UACCAAGGCGACGACGGGUAGCCGGCCUGAGAGGGUGACCGGCCACACUGGGACUGAGACACGGCCCAGACUCCUACGGGAGGCAGCAGUGGGGAAUCUUGCGCAAUGGGCGAAAGCCUGACGCAGCGACGCCGCGUGGGGGACGAAGGCCUUCGGGUUGUAAACCUCUUUCAGCAGGGAAGAAGCGAGAGUGACGGUACCUGCAGAAGAAGCACCGGCUAACUACGUGCCAGCAGCCGCGGUAAUACGUAGGGUGCAAGCGUUGUCCGGAAUUAUUGGGCGUAAAGAGCUCGUAGGUGGCGGGUCACGUCGGGUGUGAAAGCCCGGGGCUUAACCCCGGGUCUGCAUUCGAUACGGGCUUGCUAGGGUCCGGCAGGGGAGACUGGAAUUCCUGGUGUAGCGGUGAAAUGCGCAGAUAUCAGGAGGAACACCGGUGGCGAAGGCGGGUCUCUGGGCCGGUACCGACGCUGAGGAGCGAAAGCGUGGGGAGCGAACAGGAUUAGAUACCCUGGUAGUCCACGCCGUAAACGUUGGGCGCUAGGUGUGGGGAGCAUUCCACGUUCUCUGUGCCGUAGCUAACGCAUUAAGCGCCCCGCCUGGGGAGUACGG